Molecule: ribosomal RNA, 502 nt
Filed under: uncultured bacterium
Lineage: Bacteria
Description: partial 16S ribosomal RNA
Rfam family: Bacterial small subunit ribosomal RNA
Source: RNAcentral
GACGAACGCUGGCGGCGUGCUUAACACAUGCAAGUCGAACGGUGAAGGGGCCUGCUUUUGUGGGCCCUGGAUGAGUGGCGAACGGGUGAGUACCACGUGAGUAACCUGCCCCCUUCUUCUGGAUAACCGCAUGAAAGUGUGGCUAAUACGGGAUAUUCUGGGUCUGUCGCAUGAUGGGUCUGGGAAAGAUUGCGCCUUUGGGUGUUUUUGGUGGGGGAUGGGCUCGCGGCCUAUCAGCUUGUUGGUGGGGUGAUGGCCUACCAAGGCGGUGACGGGUAGCCGGCCUGAGAGGGUGGACGGUCACACUGGGACUGAGACACGGCCCAGACUCCUACGGGAGGCAGCAGUGGGGAAUAUUGCACAAUGGGCGCAAGCCUGAUGCAGCGACGCCGCGUGAGGGAUGGAGGCCUUCGGGUUGUAAACCUCUUUCGCCAGUGAAGCAGGCCUGCUCCUUGUGGGUGGGUUGACGGUAGCUGGAUAAGAAGCGCCGGCUAACUACGUG